Molecule: ribosomal RNA, 1326 nt
Filed under: Staphylococcus aureus
Lineage: Bacteria; Bacillati; Bacillota; Bacilli; Caryophanales; Staphylococcaceae
Description: partial 23S ribosomal RNA
Rfam family: Bacterial large subunit ribosomal RNA
Source: RNAcentral
GAUUAAGUUAUUAAGGGCGCACGGUGGAUGCCUUGGCACUAGAAGCCGAUGAAGGACGUUACUAACGACGAUAUGCUUUGGGGAGCUGUAAGUAAGCUUUGAUCCAGAGAUUUCCGAAUGGGGAAACCCAGCAUGAGUUAUGUCAUGUUAUCGAUAUGUGAAUACAUAGCAUAUCAGAAGGCACACCCGGAGAACUGAAACAUCUUAGUACCCGGAGGAAGAGAAAGAAAAUUCGAUUCCCUUAGUAGCGGCGAGCGAAACGGGAAGAGCCCAAACCAACAAGCUUGCUUGUUGGGGUUGUAGGACACUCUAUACGGAGUUACAAAGGACGACAUUAGACGAAUCAUCUGGAAAGAUGAAUCAAAGAAGGUAAUAAUCCUGUAGUCGAAAAUGUUGUCUCUCUUGAGUGGAUCCUGAGUACGACGGAGCACGUGAAAUUCCGUCGGAAUCUGGGAGGACCAUCUCCUAAGGCUAAAUACUCUCUAGUGACCGAUAGUGAACCAGUACCGUGAGGGAAAGGUGAAAAGCACCCCGGAAGGGGAGUGAAAUAGAACCUGAAACCGUGUGCUUACAAGUAGUCAGAGCCCGUUAAUGGGUGAUGGCGUGCCUUUUGUAGAAUGAACCGGCGAGUUACGAUUUGAUGCAAGGUUAAGCAGUAGAUGUGGAGCCGUAGCGAAAGCGAGUCUGAAUAGGGCGUUUAGUAUUUGGUCGUAGACCCGAAACCAGGUGAUCUACCCUUGGUCAGGUUGAAGUUCAGGUAACACUGAAUGGAGGACCGAACCGACUUACGUUGAAAAGUGAGCGGAUGAACUGAGGGUAGCGGAGAAAUUCCAAUCGAACCUGGAGAUAGCUGGUUCUCUCCGAAAUAGCUUUAGGGCUAGCCUCAAGUGAUGAUUAUUGGAGGUAGAGCACUGUUUGGACGAGGGGCCCCUCUCGGGUUACCGAAUUCAGACAAACUCCGAAUGCCAAUUAAUUUAACUUGGGAGUCAGAACAUGGGUGAUAAGGUCCGUGUUCGAAAGGGAAACAGCCCAGACCACCAGCUAAGGUCCCAAAAUAUAUGUUAAGUGGAAAAGGAUGUGGCGUUGCCCAGACAACUAGGAUGUUGGCUUAGAAGCAGCCAUCAUUUAAAGAGUGCGUAAUAGCUCACUAGUCGAGUGACACUGCGCCGAAAAUGUACCGGGGCUAAACAUAUUACCGAAGCUGUGGAUUGUCCUUUGGACAAUGGUAGGAGAGCGUUCUAAGGGCGUUGAAGCAUGAUCGUAAGGACAUGUGGAGCGCUUAGAAGUGAGAAUGCCGGUGUGAGUAGCGAAAGACGGGUGAGAAUC